UACAGAGGUGGCAAGCGUUGUUCGGAAUUACUGGGCGUAAAGGGCGCGUAGGCGGCCUUCUAAGUCAGACGUGAAAUCCCCAGGCUUAACUUGGGAACUGCGUCUGAUACUGGGAGGCUUGAAUGCGGGAGAGGGAUGUGGAAUUCCAGGUGUAGCGGUGAAAUGCGUAGAUAUCUGGAGGAACACCGGUGGCGAAGGCGGGUCUCUGGGCCGUAACUGACGCUGAGGAGCGAAAGCAUGGGGAGCGAACAGG
RNAcentral lists this ribosomal RNA (253 nucleotides) under uncultured bacterium. RNAcentral describes it as "partial 16S ribosomal RNA". It matches the Rfam family "Bacterial small subunit ribosomal RNA", at positions 524 to 776 of the family's 1533-position model. The record is from RNAcentral.